Molecule: non-coding RNA, 742 nt
Organism: Camelina sativa (false flax)
Lineage: Eukaryota; Viridiplantae; Streptophyta; Magnoliopsida; Brassicales; Brassicaceae
Source: RefSeq, a predicted model, not a curated record
GUCAUUUAUUUCAACGACUAAAAAGAUAUGAUGAUUGUAUUGAAUUCAUCAAGCCUUUUCCGUGGUUGACCUUGCAGUCUUGCCCCAAGUUCGACAGUAUUAGAGUAUCUCCAUCAAAGCAUCUUAGUGAAUAUCUUACAAGUUGCUUAGCAAAAAGCAGAUUAAUUAUAAUGGAAAUAAUAUGAUUUUGCUAAAGAAUCGAUUGUUAGCUUAGAUGUUUUAGGAUCAUUAAGAACCAUGGGUGUGUUGGUUUGUGAUUGGUUGGAGUUAAAAAAAAAAAAAAAAAUUCUUUUUCUUCUUUCCCGAUUUUAUUUUGCUCUCCUCUCUCUCCUUAAUCGUUUCUCUGUCUCUCCUCUCUCGUCUCUUCGAUAUCGAUAUAUCAUAAUGGAAAAGCUUGAGAGAAGAUGUAUAACACUGGGCAAAGCGUCUUUCACCGGCGAUAUCAUCAUCUCGAUCGACUGCGGCACUAUCGACGGUGGCGGUUCAUCAAUUGGAGAGGGUUUUUGCUUCACCAAAUCAGAGAUUGAAGUGGUCCAUUCUCGAAUUGUUUGGUUUAAUCGUUUCUCUAGUUUGGAUUUCAGAGUCAUUACGAUGGCGCCAUCAACAACCAACCAACCGUCGAACUUAUCCAAAGAAAUGAUCAGAUUAAUCCAAGACAAUUAACCAUAAGUUUUCAUUGUAAUAAUCUAUAUGUUUUGGCACUUGAAUUUCAAUAUAACUGGCCUCUCUUCUAUUUCUCAAA